GCUGUGAUGGUGGAGAGGUUAAAGCGUUGGACUCGAAAUCCAAUGGGGUCUCCCCAUGCAGGUUAGAUUCCUGCUCACAGCG
Molecule: non-coding RNA, 82 nt
Organism: Trichomycterus rosablanca
Lineage: Eukaryota; Metazoa; Chordata; Actinopteri; Siluriformes; Trichomycteridae
Source: the annotation of a RefSeq genome assembly